GAUGAACGCUGGCGGCGUGCCUAAUACAUGCAAGUAGAACGCUGAAGGAGGAGCUUGCUCUUCUGGAUGAGUUGCGAACGGGUGAGUAACGCGUAGGUAACCUGCCUGGUAGCGGGGGAUAACUAUUGGAAACGAUAGCUAAUACCGCAUGACAACAGUUAUUGCAUGAUAACUGUUUAAAAGGGGCAACUGCUCCACUACCAGAUGGACCUGCGUUGUAUUAGCUAGUUGGUGAGGUAACGGCUCACCAAGGCGACGAUACAUAGCCGACCUGAGAGGGUGAUCGGCCACACUGGGACUGAGACACGGCCCAGACUCAUACGGGAGGCAGCAGUAGGGAAUCUUCGGCAAUGGACGGAAGUCUGACCGAGCAACGCCGCGUGAGUGAAGAAGGUUUUCGGAUCGUAAAGCUCGGUUGUAAGAGAAGAACGAGUGUGAGAGUGGAAAGUUCACACUGUGACGGUAUCUUACCAGAAAGGGACGGCUAACUACGUG
Molecule: ribosomal RNA, 495 nt
Filed under: uncultured bacterium
Lineage: Bacteria
Description: partial 16S ribosomal RNA
Rfam family: Bacterial small subunit ribosomal RNA
Source: RNAcentral